This 253-nucleotide ribosomal RNA is filed under the name uncultured bacterium. RNAcentral describes it as "partial 16S ribosomal RNA". It matches the Rfam family "Bacterial small subunit ribosomal RNA", at positions 524 to 776 of the family's 1533-position model. The record is from RNAcentral.
UACGUAGGUGGCAAGCGUUGUCCGGAAUUACUGGGUGUAAAGCGCGUGUAGGCGGGAGGCCAAGUCUGCUGUGAAAUCGCUCGGCUCAACUGGGCGGGGUCGGUGGAAACUGGUCACCUGGAGGACGGUAGAGGCGAGUGGAAUUCCCGGUGUAGUGGUGAAAUGCGUAGAUAUUGGAAAGACCACCGAUGGCGAAGGCACUCUACUGGGCCAUUACUGACACUGAGAGACGAAAGCUAGGGGAGCAAAUGGG